RNAcentral lists this ribosomal RNA (254 nucleotides) under uncultured bacterium. RNAcentral's name for it is "partial 16S ribosomal RNA". It matches the Rfam family "Bacterial small subunit ribosomal RNA", at positions 524 to 776 of the family's 1533-position model. The record is from RNAcentral.
CACGUAGGGGGCAAGCGUUGUCCGGACUUAUUGGGCGUAAAGAGCUCGUAGGCUGUUCGAUAAGUCGGGUGUGAAACCUCCAGGCUCAACCUGGAGACGCCACCCGAUACUGUCAUGACUAGAGUCCGGUAGGGGAGCGUGGAAUUCCUGGUGUAGCGGUGAAAUGCGCAGAUAUCAGGAGGAACACCAGCGGCGAAGGCGGCGCUCUGGGCCGGUACUGACGCUGAGGAGCGAAAGCGUGGGUAGCAAACAGG